GUGGUUUAAUUCGAUGCAACGACGAAAAACCUUACCCAACCUUUGACAUGGCAGGAAUCCCGAAGAGAUUUGGGAGUGCGUCGAAAGAGAACCUGCACACAGGUGCUGCAUGGCUGUCGUCAGCUCGUGUCGUGAGAUGUUGGGUUAAGUCCCGCAACGAGCGCAACCCUUGCCAUUAGUUGCUACGAAAGGGCACUCUAAUGGGACUGCCGGUGACAAACCGGAGGAAGGUGGGGAUGACGUCAAGUCCUCAUGGCCCUUAUAGGUGGGGCUACACACGUCAUACAAUGGCCGGUACAGAGGGUAGCCAACCCGCGAGGGGGAGCCAAUCCCACAAAGCCGGUCGUAGUCCGGAUCGCAGUCUGCAACUCGACUGCGUGAAGUCGGAAUCGCUAGUAAUCGCGGAUCAGCAUGUCGCGGUGAAUACGUUCCCGGGUCUU
Molecule: ribosomal RNA, 440 nt
Filed under: uncultured Allobrachymonas sp.
Lineage: Bacteria; Pseudomonadati; Pseudomonadota; Betaproteobacteria; Burkholderiales; Comamonadaceae
Description: bacterial SSU rRNA
Rfam family: Bacterial small subunit ribosomal RNA
Source: RNAcentral